RNAcentral lists this long non-coding RNA (276 nucleotides) under Elaeis guineensis (African oil palm). RNAcentral describes it as "long non-coding RNA (EGUI_LNC009590)". Lineage: Eukaryota; Viridiplantae; Streptophyta; Magnoliopsida; Arecales; Arecaceae. The record is from RNAcentral.
UUGGGUUGCAUAGCUGGGCAACAAGGGCUUCCAAGGUCCCAUGAAAUUUUGGCAUAUCAACUUAUCACUAAGAGAGAGAAGGGGCAGUCGGAUAGCAAUCUUCUUCAUGCUAUCUACCUCUGAGCUAUUCUUUUUGCUUAGUGCAGCAACAAGUCUCUUGAUUAGCUGGGCUACCAUCCAAUGCAGCCUUUAUUCGCCUCAUGAUGCCUUCAUGAUCCAUGCAAUCACCCAGGAGAAAUAGGCUACAACAACCUUCCAAUUCCCUCCUACCCCACU